Molecule: small nuclear RNA, 106 nt
Organism: Artibeus jamaicensis (Jamaican fruit-eating bat)
Lineage: Eukaryota; Metazoa; Chordata; Mammalia; Chiroptera; Phyllostomidae
Source: RefSeq, a predicted model, not a curated record
CUGCUCACUUUGGCAGCACACGUUCCAAAAUUGGAACGAUACACAGGAGAUUAGUGUGGCCCUGCACUAGGAUGACAUGCAAAUGCACGAAGCAGUCCAUUUUGUU